This 518-nucleotide ribosomal RNA is filed under the name uncultured Streptomyces sp. RNAcentral describes it as "bacterial SSU rRNA". It matches the Rfam family "Bacterial small subunit ribosomal RNA", at positions 144 to 675 of the family's 1533-position model. Lineage: Bacteria; Bacillati; Actinomycetota; Actinomycetes; Kitasatosporales; Streptomycetaceae. The record is from RNAcentral.
CAAGCCCUGGAAACGGGGUCUAAUACCGGAUACGACCAUCUGAGGCAUCUCAUGGUGGUGGAAAGCUCCGGCGGUGCAGGAUGAGCCCGCGGCCUAUCAGCUUGUUGGUGGGGUGAUGGCCUACCAAGGCGACGACGGGUAGCCGGCCUGAGAGGGCGACCGGCCACACUGGGACUGAGACACGGCCCAGACUCCUACGGGAGGCAGCAGUGGGGAAUAUUGCACAAUGGGCGAAAGCCUGAUGCAGCGACGCCGCGUGAGGGAUGACGGCCUUCGGGUUGUAAACCUCUUUCAGCAGGGAAGAAGCGAGAGUGACGGUACCUGCAGAAGAAGCACCGGCUAACUACGUGCCAGCAGCCGCGGUAAUACGUAGGGUGCAAGCGUUGUCCGGAAUUAUUGGUCGUAAAGAGCUCGUAGGCGGCUUGUCGCGUCGGAUGUGAAAGCCCGGGGCUUAACCCCGGGUCUGCAUUCGAUACGGGCAGGCUAGAGUUCGGUAGGGGAGAUCGGAAUUCCUGGUG